AUGAAAUCGCAUGUCAAAAGCUGAUAUGGAUGAGUACAGUAGCAUUUCAACGUU
Molecule: small RNA, 54 nt
Filed under: Arabidopsis thaliana (thale cress)
Lineage: Eukaryota; Viridiplantae; Streptophyta; Magnoliopsida; Brassicales; Brassicaceae
Description: ATSL264030
Source: RNAcentral